GACGAACGCUGGCGGCGUGCUUAACACAUGCAAGUCGAACGGAAAGGCCCUGCUUUUGUGGGGUGCUCGAGGGGCGAACGGGGGAGUAACACGUGAGUAACCUGCCCUUGACUUUGGGAUAACUUCAGGAAACUGGGGCUAAUACCGGAUAGGAGCUCCUGCUGCAUGGUGGGGGUUGGAAAGUUUCGGCGGUUGGGGAUGGACUCGCGGCUUAUCAGCUUGUUGGUGGGGUAGUGGCUUACCAAGGCUUUGACGGGUAGCCGGCCUGGGAGGGUGACCGGCCACAUUGGGACUGAGAUACGGCCCAGACUCCUACGGGAGGCAGCAGUGGGGAAUAUUGCACAAUGGGCGGAAGCCUGAUGCAGCAACGCCGCGUGCGGGAUGACGGCCUGCGGGUUGUAAACCGCUUUCGCCUGUGACGAAGCGUGAGUGACGGUAAUGGGUAAAGAAGCACCGGCUAACUACGUG
Molecule: ribosomal RNA, 468 nt
Filed under: uncultured bacterium
Lineage: Bacteria
Description: partial 16S ribosomal RNA
Rfam family: Bacterial small subunit ribosomal RNA
Source: RNAcentral